This 254-nucleotide ribosomal RNA is filed under the name uncultured bacterium. RNAcentral's name for it is "partial 16S ribosomal RNA". It matches the Rfam family "Bacterial small subunit ribosomal RNA", at positions 524 to 776 of the family's 1533-position model. The record is from RNAcentral.
UACAGAGGUCCCGAGCGUUGUUCGGAUUCACUGGGCGUAAAGGGCGCGUAGGUGGUGGCUUAAGCGUGCGGUGAAAGCUCGGGGCUCAACUCCGAGUCGGCCGUGCGAACUGGGCUCACUGGAGCAUAGUAGAGGCAGGUGGAAUUCCGGGUGUAGCGGUGGAAUGCGUAGAGAUCCGGAAGAACACCGGUGGCGAAGGCGGCCUGCUGGGCUAUGGCUGACACUGAGGCGCGACAGCGUGGGGAGCAAACAGG